Mycena latifolia is the source of this 90-nucleotide non-coding RNA. NCBI's taxonomy places the organism in Eukaryota, Fungi, Basidiomycota, Agaricomycetes, Agaricales, Mycenaceae. The record is from the annotation of a GenBank genome assembly.
GGCUCAGUGGUGUAAUGGUAAUGCACUCCAUAUUCCUAUGUACACGGUAUCAUUCAUGGAAGGUCUGGAGUUCAAUUCUCCGCCAAGCCA